AUUGAACGCUGGCGGCAUGCCUUACACAUGCAAGUCGAACGGUAACAGGGAGCUUGCUCCGCUGACGAGUGGCGAACGGGUGAGUAAUGUAUCGGAACGUACCAUUCAGUGGGGGAUAACGUAGCGAAAGUUACGCUAAUACCGCAUAUUCUGUGAGCAGGAAAGCAGGGGAUCGCAAGACCUUGCGCUGAUUGAGCGGCCGAUAUCAGAUUAGCUAGUUGGUGAGGUAAAGGCUCACCAAGGCGACGAUCUGUAGCGGGUCUGAGAGGAUGAUCCGCCACACUGGAACUGAGACACGGUCCAGACUCCUACGGGAGGCAGCAGUGGGGAAUUUUGGACAAUGGGGGCAACCCUGAUCCAGCCAUGCCGCGUGAGUGAAGAAGGCCUUCGGGUUGUAAAGCUCUUCGGCCGGGAAAAAUCGCAUCAGUUAAUACCUGGUGUGGAUGAUGGUACCGAAUAAGAAGCACGGCUAACUACGUG
RNAcentral lists this ribosomal RNA (480 nucleotides) under uncultured bacterium. Its description in RNAcentral is "bacterial SSU rRNA". It matches the Rfam family "Bacterial small subunit ribosomal RNA", at positions 30 to 507 of the family's 1533-position model. The record is from RNAcentral.